This 116-nucleotide ribosomal RNA is filed under the name Candidatus Woesearchaeota archaeon. The record is from RNAcentral. Lineage: Archaea; Nanobdellati; Candidatus Woesearchaeota.
GGUAGCGGCCAAAGCUCAAGGGUUACACCCGGUCCCAUCCCGAACCCGGAAGUUAAGCCUUGACACGUUCCUUGUUGUACUGCGUAAUACGUGGGAAGCCUGGAAAGCUGCUACGC